Molecule: ribosomal RNA, 371 nt
Filed under: uncultured bacterium
Lineage: Bacteria
Description: bacterial SSU rRNA
Rfam family: Bacterial small subunit ribosomal RNA
Source: RNAcentral
GUAGGUNNCGAGCGUUGUCCGGAUUUACUGGGCGUAAAGAGCGCGCAGGCGGUCGUGCAAGUCGCGUGUGAAAGCCCCCGGCUCAACUGGGGAGGGUCACGCGAUACUGCUCGACUCGAAGGCAGGAGAGGGAAGUGGAAUUCCCGGUGUAGUGGUGAAAUGCGUAGAUAUCGGGAGGAACACCAGUGGCGAAGGCGACUUCCUGGCCUGUUCUUGACGCUGAGGCGCGAAAGCUAGGGUAGCAAACGGGAUUAGAUACCCCGGUAGUCCUAGCCGUAAACGAUGGACACUAGGUGUUGGUGGUAUCAACCCCGCCAGUGCCGAAGCUAACGCAUUAAGUGUCCCGCCUGGGGAGUACGGCCGCAAGGCUA